RNAcentral lists this ribosomal RNA (253 nucleotides) under uncultured bacterium. RNAcentral describes it as "partial 16S ribosomal RNA". It matches the Rfam family "Bacterial small subunit ribosomal RNA", at positions 524 to 776 of the family's 1533-position model. The record is from RNAcentral.
UACGUAGGGUGCGAGCGUUGUUCGGAUUCACUGGGCGUAAAGGGUGCGUAGGUGGUGAAGUAAGUCGGAUGUGAAAUCUCGGAGCUUAACUCCGAAACUGCAUUGGAAACUACUUUGCUCGAGGGUUGGAGGGGGGACUGGAAUUCUCGGUGUAGCAGUGAAAUGCGUAGAUAUCGAGAGGAACACCAGUGGCGAAGGCGAGUCCCUGGACAACUCCUGACACUGAGGCACGAAAGCUAGGGGAGCAAACAGG